RNAcentral lists this transfer RNA (72 nucleotides) under Pedosphaera parvula Ellin514. It matches the Rfam family "tRNA". From Rfam's summary of the family: Transfer RNA (tRNA) molecules are approximately 80 nucleotides in length. Lineage: Bacteria; Pseudomonadati; Verrucomicrobiota; Pedosphaerae; Pedosphaerales; Pedosphaeraceae. The record is from Rfam by way of RNAcentral.
GCCAGACUCGAAGGAGUGUAGCGCAGAGGACUCAUAAGCCUUUGGUCGCAGGUUCAAUUCCUGCCUCUGGCA